This 1902-nucleotide ribosomal RNA is filed under the name Triticum aestivum (bread wheat). Its description in RNAcentral is "partial small subunit ribosomal RNA". Lineage: Eukaryota; Viridiplantae; Streptophyta; Magnoliopsida; Poales; Poaceae. The record is from RNAcentral.
AUGGACUCCUGCCUGCUGCACCCUUAUCCACAGCCGCUCCCUCUUCCUCCCUCCAAUCCCACCUCCCAGCGUGCCCACCUCAAAUGGGCCCCAUGCUGCCGGCGCCGUCGCCGCCAUCUCCUCCGGCGCGUGGCUGUCUCCGCGCUCACCUUACAGGAACAACUCGCGCCAACCAACCCAACAACCUCCGAGAGACCGAAGAACCCCCGUAGGCCGUUCGACGGAAUGCAGGAGAGGACCGUCGCGACUUCCAACACGGCGGGCAACCUGUUCGACGAAAUGCCUCGCCCGAGCGGCGAGGGCGCGAGCGUACGUGGUCCACCUGGGAGCGGCGAGAAGAGCGCUAGCUCGGCGAUCCUGGCGCUGGCGCACGCCAGCAGGCACGCGGAGGUCCUCGAGCUCUUCUGCAGGAUGCGGCGGGACGGACUGCCGGUCAGCAAGUUCAUGCUGCCCAGCGUCCUCAAAGCCUCUGCGCGCCUCCAGGACAGCAGGAUGCUCCGGGCCGCGCAUGCCGUGGUCAUCAAGUGCGCCCUGUGCCAGCAUGUCGUCGUGGGCACCGCGCUGGUCAGCGCGUACGUUGAUUUCGGGCUGAUGGAUGAUGCGGGCAACGCGUUCGCUCAGAUGGACGAGGCCAACAUGGUCUCCUGGAGCGUGAUCAUCGGAGGCUAUGUCCGUUCUUGUCGGUGGGACGAGGCAUGGGGUGCUUUCUCCGCAAUGCAGCGUGCUGGGGUGCUUCCGGCUGAUUCAGUUCUUGUGAUGGCAAUUCAGGCGUGCAGUGCGUUGUUGUGCCUGGUUCGCGGGAAGCAGCUGCACGGGUUGGCGGUCGCCCUCGGAUUUGGAAGGAACACCACCGUCUGGAACUGCCUCAUUGACAUGUAUGGGAAGUGUGGUGACAUGGAUAGUUGCAGGGCAGUUUUUGAGACAAUGGUAGACAGGGAUCAAGUGAGUUGGAAUACCAUCAUCUCAAGCUAUGUUCGUCUUGGUUUCUGUGAAGAGGCACUCGACAUGGUCAUCCAGAUGCAGCAAUGUGGUUUCACCGUUGAUCGAUUCACCCUUGGCAGUGGAGUCGCAGCUUGUGCCCAUUUGGCUGACAUUGACAGUGGCAGUGCAUUCCAUGGUUAUUUGAUAAGAAGAGCAUUAGACACUGAUGCUAUCCGGGGCAGCGCACUCGUUGACAUGUACGGGAAAUGUGGUUUGAUGGAGCAUGCUCGAUUGGUAUUUGACAGAAUGGAUGAAAGGAAUUAUGUAGCCUGGGAUGCACUCUUGUCUGGCUACGUUGAAAAUGGGCAGGUCGACUUGGCACUCAAGGUUUUCCGACAAAUGGAGUCUGCAAACAUAAAGCCUAACCAGCAUACCUUUGUGAACCUUCUUAAGCUUUGUGGCAACAGAAGGUAUACAGAGUAUGGAAGGCAAAUCCAUGCCCAUGCCAUCAAGGCCAUACACCAGAUGAAUGUGGUUCUGGAAACUGAGCUGAUCGACAUGUACGCAAAGUGUGGCUGCAUUGAGGUUGCCCGGCUACUGUUCCUUAGGAUGAACGAGAGGAACCUGAUAUCCUGGAACGCUCUCCUCUCAGGUUAUGUAGGGGAUGGACAACCAGGUGCGUCGAUAAACAUUUACCGCCAAAUGGAGCUGGCCUGCAUCAGGCCUGACCAGUACACCUUGGCAGGGCUUCUAAGCCUUUGCCGGUACCAAGGGCUUUUGCGCUACGGAAGGCAGAUACAUGCUCAUGUCAUUAAGAUAGGCUCUGAGACAAAUGUGGUGCUGCAAACUUUACUUGUGCAUAUGUACGUCAGGUGUAGGCAGUGGCGAGAUGCUGAAAAUGUCUGUGCGAUGAUCCAAGAGAGGAACUUUUAUGUGAAUGAUGCGUUCUCGAAGGUCUAUGGAGAUGGGUACUUCAUCUGA